UACGAAGGGGGCUAGCGUUGCUCGGAAUCACUGGGCGUAAAGGGUGCGUAGGCGGGUCUUUAAGUCAGAGGUGAAAUCCUGGAGCUCAACCCCAGAACUGCCUUUGAUACUGAGGAUCUUGAGUACGGGAGAGGUGAGUGGAACUGCGAGUGUAGAGGUGAAAUUCGUAGAUAUUCGCAAGAACACCAGUGGCGAAGGCGGCUCACUGGCCCGUUACUGACGCUGAGGCACGAAAGCGUGGGGAGCGAACAGG
RNAcentral lists this ribosomal RNA (253 nucleotides) under uncultured bacterium. Its description in RNAcentral is "partial 16S ribosomal RNA". It matches the Rfam family "Bacterial small subunit ribosomal RNA", at positions 524 to 776 of the family's 1533-position model. The record is from RNAcentral.